Molecule: non-coding RNA, 71 nt
Organism: Phrynosoma platyrhinos (Desert horned lizard)
Lineage: Eukaryota; Metazoa; Chordata; Lepidosauria; Squamata; Phrynosomatidae
Source: the annotation of a GenBank genome assembly
GCCAGUGUGGUGUAGUGGUUUGAGCAGUGGACUGGGACUCUGGGGACCAGGGUUCAAAUCCCAGUUUGGCC